GAUGAACGCUGGCGGCGUGCCUAAUACAUGCCAGUCGAGCGAACGGACGAGAAGCUUGCUUCUCUGAUGUUAGCGGCGGACGGGUGAGUAACACGUGGAUAACCUACCUAUAAGACUGGGAUAACUUCGGGAAACCGGAGCUAAUACCGGAUAAUGUUUUGAACCGCAUGGUUCAAAAGUGAAAGACGGUCUUGCUGUCACUUAUAGCUGGAUCCGCGCUGCAUUAGCUAGUUGGUAAGGUAACGGCUUACCAAGGCAACGAUGCAUAGCCGACCUGAGAGGGUGAUCGGCCACACUGGAACUGAGACACGGUCCAGACUCCUACGGGAGGCAGCAGUAGGGAAUCUUCCGCAAUGGGCGAAAGCCUGACGGAGCAACGCCGCGUGAGUGAUGAAGGUCUUCGGAUCGUAAAACUCUGUUAUUAGGGAAGAACAUAUGUGUAAGUAACUGUGCACAUCUUGACGGUACCUAAUCAGAAAGCCACGGCUAACUACGUG
RNAcentral lists this ribosomal RNA (497 nucleotides) under uncultured bacterium. RNAcentral describes it as "partial 16S ribosomal RNA". It matches the Rfam family "Bacterial small subunit ribosomal RNA", at positions 28 to 507 of the family's 1533-position model. The record is from RNAcentral.